ACCCGCACAAGCGGUGGAUGAUGUGGUUAAUUCGAUGCAACGCGAAAAACCUUACCCACCUUUGACAUGUACGGAACCCUUUAGAGAUAGAGGGGUGCUCGAAAGAGAGCCGUAACACAGGUGCUGCAUGGCUGUCGUCAGCUCGUGUCGUGAGAUGUUGGGUUAAGUCCCGCAACGAGCGCAACCCUUGUCAUUAGUUGCUACAUUCAGUUGGGCACUCUAAUGAGACUGCCGGUGACAAGCCGGAGGAAGGUGGGGAUGACGUCAAGUCCUCAUGGCCCUUAUAGGUGGGGCUACACACGUCAUACAAUGGCUGGUACAAAGGGUUGCCAACCCGCGAGGGGGAGCCAAUCCCAUAAAGCCAGUCGUAGUCCGGAUCGUAGUCUGCAACUCGACUACGUGAAGUCGGAAUCGCUAGUAAUCGUGGAUCAGAAUGUCACGGUGAAUACGUUCCCGGGUCUU
This 462-nucleotide ribosomal RNA is filed under the name uncultured Rhodoferax sp. RNAcentral describes it as "bacterial SSU rRNA". It matches the Rfam family "Bacterial small subunit ribosomal RNA", at positions 919 to 1382 of the family's 1533-position model. Lineage: Bacteria; Pseudomonadati; Pseudomonadota; Betaproteobacteria; Burkholderiales; Comamonadaceae. The record is from RNAcentral.